AGAGUUUGAUCAUGGCUCAGGAUGAACGCUGGCGGCGUGCCUAACACAUGCAAGUCGAACGGGACUAUUUGGAGAUGAUUUCGGUCUGAUCCUUAUAGUUUAGUGGCGGACGGGUGAGUAACGCGUGGACAACCUGCCUUUCACAGGGGGAUAGCAGCUGGAAACGGCUGGUAAUACCGCAUACGCUCAUAUCACCGCAUGGUGAUAUGAGGAAAGAUUUAUCGGUGAAAGAUGGAUCCGCGUCUGAUUAGCCAGUUGGCGGGGUAACGGCCCACCAAAGCGACGAUCAGUAGCCGGCCUGAGAGGGCGGACGGCCACAUUGGGACUGAGACACGGCCCAGACUCCUACGGGAGGCAGCAGUGGGGGAUAUUGCACAAUGGGCGCAAGCCUGAUGCAGCGACGCCGCGUGAGUGAAGAAGUAUUUCGGUAUGUAAAGCUCUAUCAGCAGGGAAGAAAGGCCCGCAAGGGAGAUGACGGUACCUGACUAAGAAGCCCCGGCUAACUACGUGCCAGCAGCCGCGGUAAU
This 527-nucleotide ribosomal RNA is filed under the name uncultured bacterium. RNAcentral describes it as "bacterial SSU rRNA". It matches the Rfam family "Bacterial small subunit ribosomal RNA", at positions 8 to 524 of the family's 1533-position model. The record is from RNAcentral.